Molecule: ribosomal RNA, 738 nt
Filed under: uncultured Acidobacteriota bacterium
Lineage: Bacteria; Pseudomonadati; Acidobacteriota
Description: bacterial SSU rRNA
Rfam family: Bacterial small subunit ribosomal RNA
Source: RNAcentral
AGAGUUUGAUCAUGGCUCAGAAUCAACGCUGGCGGCGUGCCUCAGACAUGCAAGUCGAACGCGAAAGCCCUUCGGGGCAAGUAGAGUGGCGCACGGGUGAGUAACACGUAGGUAAUCUACCUUUGGAUUGGGAAUAACAACCGGAAACGGUUGCUAAUACCGAAUAAUGCAGCGGCACCUAAUGGUGACAGUUGUUAAAGCGGGGGAUCGCAAGACCUCGCGUCUGAAGAGGAGCCUGCGGCAGAUUAGCUAGUUGGUAAGGUAAUGGCUUACCAAGGCGAUGAUCUGUAGCCGGCCUGAGAGGGCGGUCGGCCACACUGACACUGACAUACGGGUCAGACUCCUACGGGAGGCAGCAGUCGGGAAUUUUGGGCAAUGGGCGAAAGCCUGACCCAGCAACGCCGCGUGAAGGAUGAAAUCCCUCGGGAUGUAAACUUCGCAAGAACGGGAAGAAUAAGUGAGAGCUGACAUCUCUUACGAUGACGGUACUGUUUGUAAGCUCCGGCUAACUCCGUGCCAGCAGCCGCGGUAAUACGGGGGGAGCAAGCGUUGUUCGGAUUUACUGGGCGUAGAGGGCGCGUAGGCGUCCACCGCAAGUCGACUGUGAAAUCUCCGGGCUUACCCGGAACGGUCAGCCGAUACUGCGGGGCUAGAGUGCAGAAGGGGCAACUGGAAUUCUCGGUGUAGCGGUGAAAUGCGUAGAUAUCGAGAGGAACACCUGCGGCGAAGGCGGGUUGC